This 30-nucleotide non-coding RNA is filed under the name Mus musculus (house mouse). The record is from RNAcentral. Lineage: Eukaryota; Metazoa; Chordata; Mammalia; Rodentia; Muridae.
UAAGAAAUUAAGCAUUAUGAAACUCUUGGC